Non-coding RNA from Solanum tuberosum (potato), 110 nucleotides. The record is from Rfam. Lineage: Eukaryota; Viridiplantae; Streptophyta; Magnoliopsida; Solanales; Solanaceae.
AAAUUAAGAGCAUGUCAAGAUAGCCAGGAUAACUUGCCUACAACCAAAUAAAAAAUAUUAUCAAAUGGAGUAGGCAAGUCAUCCUUGGCUACUAAACAAUACUCUCAACU